GGGUGGCAGCCGGCAAUGAGGCGGCCGCGCUACGUGACGAGCUACGGGUCCCCCUUUGUGAUGUUUUGGCAUCGCUCCUUCAUCGCACAUCCUCAGGCGAUGGCGGUGGUGUCGCUGAUGGCGGCGAGGACAGCAUGUGGCAGCUCCCGAAGCAUGAACACGACCGCACCUCGGGCCUGCCGUCUGCCAAGAUAUGGCUCUGGCCGAUUGACAAUGGAGGUUUGGGAUCCUUCCUCUCAGCACCCACUCCUGGAAGAAUCAGCGGUGCGCCACGCCGAUUGAACCCCGUCGAGAUCACUCGCCAAGAUUGCUAUUCUGAAGUUUAUUGUAAAGAAAGUGAAG
Triticum dicoccoides is the source of this 342-nucleotide long non-coding RNA. RefSeq lists it as uncharacterized. Lineage: Eukaryota; Viridiplantae; Streptophyta; Magnoliopsida; Poales; Poaceae. The record is from RefSeq and is a predicted model, not a curated record. The transcript has 3 exons.